RNAcentral lists this ribosomal RNA (300 nucleotides) under uncultured bacterium. Its description in RNAcentral is "bacterial SSU rRNA". It matches the Rfam family "Bacterial small subunit ribosomal RNA", at positions 399 to 691 of the family's 1533-position model. The record is from RNAcentral.
GCGUGGAGGAUGAAAGCCUUCGGGUUGUAAACUCCUGUCAGGUGGGACGAAAAGGCGGCGGUUAAUAACCGUAGCCCUUGACGGUACCACCGGAGGAAGCCCCGGCUAACUACGUGCCAGCAGCCGCGGUAACACGUAGGGGGCAAGCGUUAUUCGGAAUUAUUGGGCGUAAAGGGCGCGUAGGCGGCCAGACAAGUCAGUGGUGAAAUCCCUCGGCUCAACCGAGGAACUGCCUCUGAAACUAUCUGGCUUGAGGCCGGGAGAGGGUAGUGGAAUUCCCAGUGUAGCGGUGAAAUGCGU